UGGGUAACCUGCCUCAAAGAGGGGAAUAGCCUCCCGAAAGGGAGAUUAAUACCGCAUAAUAUGUUUAAGUCGCAUGACUUUAACAUCAAAGGAUUUUCUUUUAGAAAUUCCACUUUGAGAUGGACCCGCGGUGCAUUAGCUAGUUGGUGAGGUAACGGCUCACCAAGGCGACGAUCCGUAGCUGGUCUGAGAGGACGAUCAGCCACACUGGGACUGAGACACGGCCCAGACCUCGUACGGGGAG
RNAcentral lists this ribosomal RNA (244 nucleotides) under uncultured bacterium. Its description in RNAcentral is "partial 16S ribosomal RNA". It matches the Rfam family "Bacterial small subunit ribosomal RNA", at positions 118 to 347 of the family's 1533-position model. The record is from RNAcentral.